Molecule: ribosomal RNA, 404 nt
Filed under: uncultured bacterium
Lineage: Bacteria
Description: bacterial SSU rRNA
Rfam family: Bacterial small subunit ribosomal RNA
Source: RNAcentral
UGGGGAAUCUUGCACAAUGGGGGAAACCCUGAUGCAGCGACGCCGCGUGAACGAUGAAGCCCUUCGGGGUGUAAAGUUCUUUCGGCAGGGACGAUAAUGACGGUACCUGCAGAAGCAGCUGCGGCUAACUACGUGCCAGCAGCCGCGGUAAUACGUAGGCAGCAAGCGUUGUUCGGAAUUACUGGGCGUAAAGAGUGCGUAGGCGGUUGGCUAAGUUUGGUGUGAAAUCUCCCGGCUCAACUGGGAGGGUGCGCCGAAAACUGGCUAGCUAGAGUGCGGGAGGGGAUAGUGGAAUUCCUGGUGUAGCGGUGAAAUGCGUAGAUAUCAGGAGGAACACCUGAGGUGUAGACGGCUAUCUGGACCGUAACUGACGCUGAGGCACGAAAGCGUGGGGAGCAAACAGG